This 410-nucleotide ribosomal RNA is filed under the name uncultured delta proteobacterium. Its description in RNAcentral is "partial 16S ribosomal RNA". Lineage: Bacteria; Deltaproteobacteria. The record is from RNAcentral.
UUCGCACAUCAGCGUCAGUNUUUGGCCAGGDAGUCGCCUUCGCCACCGGUAUUCCUCCCGAUAUCUACGAAUUUCACCUCUACACCGGGAAUUCCACUACCCCCUCCAAUACUCAAGCAUGCCAGUUUCAAAUGCACUUCCACGGUUGAGCCGUGGACUUUCACAUCUGACUUAACACGCCGCCUACGCGCGCUUUACGCCCAGUAAUUCCGAACAACGCUUGCACCCUCCGUAUUACCGCGGCUGCUGGCACGGAGUUAGCCGGUGCUUCCUUUGAUGGUACCGUCAAACUACAGCUGUAUUAGAGCAGUAGCACUUCUUCCCAUCUGACAGGAUUUUACGACCCGAAGCCUUCAUCAUCCACGCGGCGUCGCUGCGUCAGGGUUUCCCCCAUUGCGCAAUAUUCCUCA